RNAcentral lists this ribosomal RNA (320 nucleotides) under uncultured eukaryote. Its description in RNAcentral is "partial 18S ribosomal RNA". It matches the Rfam family "Eukaryotic small subunit ribosomal RNA", at positions 1470 to 1796 of the family's 1831-position model. The record is from RNAcentral.
CCCCUAGAUGUUCUGGGCCGCACGCGCGCUACACUGAACAGUUCAACAAGUCUUAACCUUGGCCGAUAGGUCUGGGUAAUCUUUGAACGCUGUUCGUGAUUGGGAUAGACCUUUGCAAUUAUGGGUCUUCAACGAGGAAUUCCUAGUAAACGCAAGUCAUCAGCUUGCAUUGAUUACGUCCCUGCCCUUUGUACACACCGCCCGUCGCACCUACCGAUUGAAUGGUCCGGUGAAAUCUCGGGACGGCGGCUUGGUCGCUUGCGUCCGACUGCUGAAACUUGAUUAAACCAUAUCAUUUAGAGGGAGGUGAAGUCGUANCA